Molecule: ribosomal RNA, 253 nt
Filed under: uncultured bacterium
Lineage: Bacteria
Description: partial 16S ribosomal RNA
Rfam family: Bacterial small subunit ribosomal RNA
Source: RNAcentral
UGCGUAGGGUGCAAGCGUUAUCCGGAUUUAUUGGGCGUAAAGGGCUCGUAGGCGGUUCGUCGCGUCCGGUGUGAAAGUCCAUCGCUUAACGGUGGAUCCGCGCCGGGUACGGGCGGGCUUGAGUGCGGUAGGGGAGACUGGAAUUCCCGGUGUAACGGUGGAAUGUGUAGAUAUCGGGAAGAACACCAAUGGCGAAGGCAGGUCUCUGGGCCGUUACUGACGCUGAGGAGCGAAAGCGUGGGGAGCGAACAGG